GAGUUUCUCCAUAACUCGCUGGU
RNAcentral lists this non-coding RNA (23 nucleotides) under Arabidopsis thaliana (thale cress). Lineage: Eukaryota; Viridiplantae; Streptophyta; Magnoliopsida; Brassicales; Brassicaceae. The record is from RNAcentral.